AUUGAACGCUGGCGGCAUGCCUUACACAUGCAAGUCGAACGGCAGCACGGAGCUUGCUCUGGUGGCGAGUGGCGAACGGGUGAGUAAUAUAUCGGAACGUACCCUAGAGUGGGGGAUAACGUAGCGAAAGUUACGCUAAUACCGCAUACGAUCUAAGGAUGAAAGUGGGGGAUCGCAAGACCUCAUGCUCGUGGAGCGGCCGAUAUCUGAUUAGCUAGUUGGUAGGGUAAAAGCCUACCAAGGCAUCGAUCAGUAGCUGGUCUGAGAGGACGACCAGCCACACUGGAACUGAGACACGGUCCAGACUCCUACGGGAGGCAGCAGUGGGGAAUUUUGGACAAUGGGCGAAAGCCUGAUCCAGCAAUGCCGCGUGAGUGAAGAAGGCCUUCGGGUUGUAAAGCUCUUUUGUCAGGGAAGAAACGGUGAGAGCUAAUAUCUCUUGCUAAUGACGGUACCUGAAGAAUAAGCACCGGCUAACUACGUGCCAGCAGCCGCGGUAAUACGUAGGGUGCAAGCGUUAAUCGGAAUUACUGGGCGUAAAGCGUGCGCAGGCGGUUUUGUAAGUCUGAUGUGAAAUCCCCGGGCCCAACCUGGGAAUUGCAUUGGAGACUGCAAGGCUAGAAUCUGGCAGAGGGGGGUAGAAUUCCACGUGUAGCAGUGAAAUGCGUAGAUAUGUGGAGGAACACCGAUGGCGAAGGCAGCCCCCUGGGUCAAGAUUGACGCUCAUGCACGAAAGCGUGGGGAGCAAACAGGAUUAGAUACCCUGGUAGUCCACGCCCUAAACGAUGUCUACUAGUUGUCGGGUCUUAAUUGACUUGGUAACGCAGCUAACGCGUGAAGUAGACCGCCUGGGGAGUACGGUCGCAAGAUUAAAACUCAAAGGAAUUGACGGGGACCCGCACAAGCGGUGGAUGAUGUGGAUUAAUUCGAUGCAACGCGAAAAACCUUACCUACCCUUGACAUGGCUGGAAUCCCCGAGAGAUCAGGGAGUGCUCGAAAGAGAACCAGUACACAGGUGCUGCAUGGCUGUCGUCAGCUCGUGUCGUGAGAUGUUGGGUUAAGUCCCGCAACGAGCGCAACCCUUGUCAUUAGUUGCUACGAAAGGGCACUCUAAUGAGACUGCCGGUGACAAACCGGAGGAAGGUGGGGAUGACGUCAAGUCCUCAUGGCCCUUAUGGGUAGGGCUUCACACGUCAUACAAUGGUACAUACAGAGCGCCGCCAACCCGCGAGGGGGAGCUAAUCGCAGAAAGUGUAUCGUAGUCCGGAUUGUAGUCUGCAACUCGACUGCAUGAAGUUGGAAUCGCUAGUAAUCGCGGAUCAGCAUGUCGCGGUGAAUACGUUCCCGGGUCU
This 1352-nucleotide ribosomal RNA is filed under the name uncultured bacterium. RNAcentral's name for it is "bacterial SSU rRNA". It matches the Rfam family "Bacterial small subunit ribosomal RNA", at positions 28 to 1381 of the family's 1533-position model. The record is from RNAcentral.